Long non-coding RNA from Lytechinus variegatus (green sea urchin), 489 nucleotides. RefSeq lists it as uncharacterized. NCBI's taxonomy places the organism in Eukaryota, Metazoa, Echinodermata, Echinoidea, Temnopleuroida, Toxopneustidae. The transcript has 3 exons. The record is from RefSeq and is a predicted model, not a curated record.
UAUAUGGAUUAUCUCCAUCUUCUUCACAGCUUUAAAUUACUAAGAGCUACCUUUCCCAAGACAUUGUGGGCUACAUGAUGCUAAAAAUCCAUCGAAAUCGUACAAGGAUGGGCCAUCUCGAGAUCAGUAUCGACUGUCAAAAGAAACCGUCACCAAUAUGCUGGAAGCCGAAAUGAAGAGGGACACACAGCUCAGAGGAUAGAUCAACUUCCUGUUUAUUUGCAGGUGUUGACAACUCUCCAUUUUUAUGCAGUGGGAUCAUUUUAAAAGAUGCAUGGUGAUGAGGCAGCAAUAUAGCAGUCAUCAAUGUGUCAGAAGCUAAAGCAAGAAGGAAGAGGCAAUACAUGAAGAUUCCUACAAGAGAAGAAGUUGAAGCAACUCGGAGACAGUUCUAUCUAACUGUUAGAUUUCCAGGAGUGAAAGGUGCAAUUGAUGGGACACAUGUCUACAUCAAGAGCCGGGGGGGGGGGGGGGGGGGAUUGGGCCAUA